CCUACGGGCGGCAGCAGUGGGGAAUAUUGCACAAUGGGCGCAAGCCUGAUGCAGCCAUGCCGCGUGUGUGAAGAAGGCCUUCGGGUUGUAAAGCACUUUCAGCGGGGAGGAAGGCGGUGAAGUUAAUAACCUCAUCGAUUGACGUUACCCGCAGAAGAAGCACCGGCUAACUCCGUGCCAGCAGCCGCGGUAAUACGGAGGGUGCAAGCGUUAAUCGGAAUUACUGGGCGUAAAGCGCACGCAGGCGGUCUGUCAAGUCGGAUGUGAAAUCCCCGGGCUCAACCUGGGAACUGCAUUCGAAACUGGCAGGCUAGAGUCUUGUAGAGGGGGGUAGAAUUCCAGGUGUAGCGGUGAAAUGCGUAGAGAUCUGGAGGAAUACCGGUGGCGAAGGCGGCCCCCUGGACAAAGACUGACGCUCAGGUGCGAAAGCGUGGGGAGCAAACAGGAUUAGAUACCCGAGUAGUC
This 465-nucleotide ribosomal RNA is filed under the name uncultured Klebsiella sp. RNAcentral's name for it is "bacterial SSU rRNA". It matches the Rfam family "Bacterial small subunit ribosomal RNA", at positions 338 to 795 of the family's 1533-position model. The record is from RNAcentral. Lineage: Bacteria; Pseudomonadati; Pseudomonadota; Gammaproteobacteria; Enterobacterales; Enterobacteriaceae.